GUGUAGCUAUGCUGCCGAGCCUGGUUCUGCAUCGUUCCUCUGUUCAUCCAUACCAGAGGGGUUUUUACUGCAGUGACUCCAGCCUCAACUACCCCUAUAAGAGCAGCACCGUACCCUCUUCAGUGCUCACUUCUGUUGGCUUGACACUGCCCGUGGUGUCCCUAGCCUGCCUUUCCUGAUCAUUGAGACUAGCACCAUAAAGCCAUACCAGCGCGGGUUUUACUGUUCGGACGAGUCCAUUCGCUUCCCCCGAAAAGAGGGAGACACCAUUAGUGAUGCCGUGCUUUGUGGCGUUGGCAUUCUUAUUGGCAUCUUCUCUAUUGUGAUUGGAGAAUGCUACAGGAUCCACCAGCUACAAGAAGGAACCAAAUCAAUUGUUGGAAAUCCUUAUGUUGC
Molecule: long non-coding RNA, 396 nt
Organism: Nematolebias whitei (Rio pearlfish)
Lineage: Eukaryota; Metazoa; Chordata; Actinopteri; Cyprinodontiformes; Rivulidae
Exons: 3
Source: RefSeq, a predicted model, not a curated record